AGUGAACGCUGGCGGUAGGCCUAACACAUGCAAGUCGAACGGCAGCACAGUAAGAGCUUGCUCUUACGGGUGGCGAGUGGCGGACGGGUGAGGAAUACAUCGGAAUCUACUUUUUCGUGGGGGAUAACGUAGGGAAACUUACGCUAAUACCGCAUACGACCUACGGGUGAAAGCAGGGGAUCUUCGGACCUUGCGCGAUUGAAUGAGCCGAUGUCGGAUUAGCUAGUUGGCGGGGUAAGGGCCCACCAAGGCGACGAUCCGUAGCUGGUCUGAGAGGAUGAUCAGCCACACUGGAACUUAGACACGGUCCAGACUCCUACGGGAGGCAGCAGUGGGGAAUAUUGGACAAUGGGCGCAAGCCUAAUCCAGCCAUACCGCGUGGGUGAAGAAGGCCUUCGGGUUGUAAAGCCCUUUUGUUGGGAAAGAAAAGCAGCAGGUUAAUACCCCGCUGUUCUGACGGUACCCAAAGAAUAAGCACCGGCUAACUUCGUG
This 492-nucleotide ribosomal RNA is filed under the name uncultured bacterium. Its description in RNAcentral is "partial 16S ribosomal RNA". It matches the Rfam family "Bacterial small subunit ribosomal RNA", at positions 29 to 507 of the family's 1533-position model. The record is from RNAcentral.